Molecule: ribosomal RNA, 491 nt
Filed under: uncultured bacterium
Lineage: Bacteria
Description: partial 16S ribosomal RNA
Rfam family: Bacterial small subunit ribosomal RNA
Source: RNAcentral
AGUGAACGCUGGCGGUAGGCCUAACACAUGCAAGUCGAACGGCAGCACAGUAAGAGCUUGCUCUUACGGGUGGCGAGUGGCGGACGGGUGAGGAAUACAUCGGAAUCUACUUUUUCGUGGGGGAUAACGUAGGGAAACUUACGCUAAUACCGCAUACGACCUACGGGUGAAAGCAGGGGAUCUUCGGACCUUGCGCGAUUGAAUGAGCCGAUGUCGGAUUAGCUAGUUGGCGGGGUAAAGGCCCACCAAGGCGACGAUCCGUAGCUGGUCUGAGAGGAUGAUCAGCCACACUGGAACUGAGACACGGUCCAGGCUCCGACGGGAGGCAGCAGUGGGGAAUAUUGGACAAUGGGCGCAAGCCUGAACCAGCCAUACCGCGUGGGUGAAGAAGGCCUGCGGGUUGUAAAGCCCUUUUGUUGGGAAAGAAAAGUAGCAGGUUAAUACCCCGCUGUUCUGACGGUACCCAAAGAAUAAGCACCGGCUAACUUCGG